This 2147-nucleotide unclassified non-coding RNA is filed under the name Hevea brasiliensis (rubber tree). The record is from RNAcentral. Lineage: Eukaryota; Viridiplantae; Streptophyta; Magnoliopsida; Malpighiales; Euphorbiaceae.
CAUUGCUAUAUUUUGUUUAUACAAAUCACUAAUUUUAUUCUAUAUUUUUUUCAAUCUCUUGUUUUAUUUUUGGAUAAUACAUGCAUCUGCCUAUGUAUCUGAUUUUGAACCAUUUGAAUUUUAUUUCCCUCUUUGGUUACUGGGAAAAUGCGGGAAAUACUAGAACUUGCAAAUUUGAGUUGUGCGUGUGUUUUAUUUAUUUAUUUAUGCGCUUGAAUAAAUAUGAGCAUAUACUCAGCUGAAUUUUCCUUCUUUUCUUGCCUGUGAUUUUGUUAGUAGCUUCAGUUUGUGAGAACCUCAAAAUAUAUAUGUGCUUUACCUUUUUCUCUGAUUUCUUUUUUUCCUGUUAGAUUAGAGCCUUGCCGCUUUCCCCAUCUGUUAAGAUUAUGCACAAAUUUCUGGUAGAUGUGGUUAAUCGGAGUUUAUAGAACUGUGUGUGGGUCCAACCCUUGACUGAAAAUGAUCAUUGAAUUUCUGGAUGAGAAUUUAGAAUGAUUCUGAAAACAAAUGCAUUCAUGGAUUGUUGUCACAAACAUUUGAGUGAACAAUUAGAUCGAAUAACUAUAUUUGGUUUUAGUGUUGGAAAAACCAAAUUCGUGGUUGGGUAUUGGGAAACCACUUAGUUUCCAUGCCACAAACACACAUACAAAAUCCAGUUCAUGGAGCCAUUGUAAAGAAACCACAGAUAUUUUAUUCAUUUCCUGAACAUAGUUUCACACAAUAUUAUUAAUGAGGAUUAGUAAUGGGUUUUGGUCAACAUUUUGUAGAUAGCACAUGGGUUGCUUUUGAGAUCUGAAGCAAAAGAUAACAGCUUUUCCUGCAAGGUCAUUUUCUAGACUUUGUGAAGCUCUGAUUGACUGAAUCACCCCUAAUUUUAUUCUGAAGAUAAGUAUGGAUUACUGAGAAGUCCCAUAGAUAAUAAGUAAUGCUUGUAUUGUACUUCAAUUAUUGAAGUCCUGUUUCAUGAGCAAAUAGAGAAUGGAUAUGCUUAAAUAGCUUCUGCUUGUUCUUUGUUUAUGCACUUAUUGAUUUGGCAUGUUAUCACUCACAUUUCUACCUUGAAAAUUAUGAGACAAUUAGAAUUUAUGUUGAUAAAUGUCAUGCUCUUUCAUGUUCAUAUUUGGAUUUUAUUGAAAUUGGUACGGCCCCUCGAGAUGUAUCUGGUUAUGGGACGCUGAGUGGACGCUUCCGAUGAAAGAUCUAAAGGCUUGAAGGAAAUUUUCUUAUUGCGACGUAUGAUUGUAAUUGAACAGGCUCAUUAGAGAGAACCUGAAGAUCUCUGAGUUUUAAAGUACCCUUUUUUGGAAAUAUUUUUCUCUUCUCUUUUAUUAACGUACUGCUGAAAGUUAUAAAGCAAAUGGGAGAAUAGCCACUCCCUACAUAACAGGAACUAAACAACUGAAAAUAAAGAUAUGGAGGUACACCCUCCUACAAUUGAGGAAAAUAAAAUGAAACUGAAAAUUUUACUCCCUCCCAUUUCGACGUGCUUGUCCUCAAGCACAAAGUUUGGAAAUUCCUUUUGCAAGUGACAGGCAUUCUCCCAAGAUGCAUCAGCUGGUGAAGUAUGCUGCCAAUGGACUAAAAUUUCGACUUGUCCAGCUCGAACAUGGUUGUCUAGAAUAGCCAAUGGCUUGCAUUGCAACUGAUCCGAAGAGUAGGGAGGGAACUCGAUACCAAUAUCACCUUGUCCGUCAUUGAAUUUUUUUAAGUUGGACACAUGGAAAACAGGAUGAAUUUUAGUUGAAGGCGGCAAAUCCAAUUUGUAAGCCAUCUUUCCAAUAAGUUGGACUACCGUGUAAGGACCAUGAAAUUUGGGCAAAAGCUUUUGAUGACGUCGUUCAGCAACAGAUAGCUGACGGUGAGGCUGGAGUUUGAGCAAAACUUUAUCCCCUUCAUUGAACUGAACAUCUCGACGAUGAGCAUCGUAUUGUGACUUCAUUUUCUGCUGAGCUCGCAAUAAAUUGGCCCUUAAAGAACCCAAAAGCUGAACUCGAAGCUGAAGUGCAUUAUCCACAGCAUCAAGGUUUAAAUGUCCUGGACAAUAAGAAAGCAGCCGUGGAGGAGGCCUGCCAUGUACAACUUCAAAUGGAGUUUCUUUCAAAGAAGAGUGAUAACUUGUAUUGUAACCUAUGUAGCACGGAAACGGA